GUUACUUUACUGAUAAUAAUCACACGUAGUAUGCACCUGACUUUAUACUUUUUGGUUAUUGUAUCUAUGGUCAUGUUUGUUGAGGGAGAACUGUCAGAUUUUGGCGGCGCUUCAUUGCCCGAGGUUAUGUUGGAUUUGUUCUUUGUAAUCUUAUAAUUAAUCCUGUAUGUCGCUGUAAUAAAAGAAAUAUUACUGGAAGCAGUGGUUUGUGUGCUAAACCCCUUUUACUGAGCAUUAAAUCUAUGGAUGAUUUCAACUCAGAAAGCGGGAUUGUGAAUUCAAAUGCCCACAUAGAAAUUGGUUAAUUGUUUUCACCUGUAUGAGGUGCUAUAUUGAACCAUCGCACUGGGAGAUUUCGGCACAACAUCGGCAGAAGUAGAGGUUUACAGUGAAUAAAAAGUGCAAGCCUUUGAAGAGCAGAGGCGAGUCGAACUCGACGCAAGAUGAGUUAAAGGCCCGACCACCUGCGGUCAUAAACUACAAUUUUGUCGGAAGUGUGCAGACCUGCGGUGAAUGUGGAUGUUCAUUCACUGCAAAAAUAGGCUACGUCAGCCACCUGAGAGGUCACGAUCAUCGUUCUCACUAGCCAGUGAAUACUCAGUCGCCGAGGCCGAAACCGGCUAGGACAGGAUGAUCAGAGGUGCGUAGCAAUGUAGGUUGCUUGGUUUUUUUAAAAAAAAGUUUGAGUUUGUUUGAUUGACAAUUGGUUUCAUUUGCUUACCAUAAAAGUUGUUUUAAAUUUGCAAUGUAAGUACUUGACGUUUGCUAUGUAUUGAUCUAGUUACUAACCCCUGUUUUUUUUGUCAUUGUUUGUUUUUGGUCUGAGAGAUGACACGUUGGAAUACAAUGAGAAUAGAUCUCGACGAAAACGCAAGCAAGCAACCAUCAGCUUCAUCACAGUGAGAUUGGUGAGACACAGAGCCAACAAGGUUACGAACGAAGUCAAAAGGGUAAGGAUGACAUUGUGCAGUAUUCAGGUACAAUAUAGGUGCUUAGUGAAGUUAGUUAUUAACACUGAGUUGUAUAAUGACAUUAGGUGAAUAUAUACUAGGUAUUAUUACUAUUUUGGAUAGUCUAAUGACACUAAAAGGUAUUUUAUUUCUAAUGAUGUAUGAGUAUAUAAUGCCUAUACAGGGUGAUUCAGGAGACGUGAGCAGGACUAACACUGCGCAUUUCGUAAAUUAUAAGCAACUGUUUCGUAUCAGUAUUAGUGAGGUUAACGUUAAUUUUCUAGUAGUGUUGAAAAAAAAAGUUAUUAAUUUAUUUACGACAUGCAUGGUCACCCUACAGUUAGAAUACUAAACUACCGAUAUUCUGUGUCAAAUUGAAUGUCAUCACGGACUGGUUACUUUUGAAAACUCGUAUCUCACUCAAGUUUGACAGUUUAUUUUCUUCGUAAUCAUAAUGCUGUCAUUACGGUUAAAGAGGUUUAUUUUUAUUAAUUAGGUCUUGUAGGGUGACCAUGAUUGUAGAGAAUUAAAUUUUCCCUCGCCAAAAAGUUAAAAAAUAGGAAAAAGUGUGGUUGUUUCACCUAAAUACGACGGUGAUCGAUCAAUUAUCAGUUACUGAGUGGGCAGGAUUAGUCCUGCUCACGUCUCAUGAAUCACCCUGUAUAUGGCAAGAGAUAACAAUAAAAUGUUAUGGAUUGGUAUCACAGAGGUUAUUGCCAUGAUGAAUUGAUAGGAUAGCGAAGAUGAGAGGAAGAAACUGAUAGCGGGCUAGAAUUGUAGAUUGGCCCAUGACGGUUAUCAGUGGAAAGAGUUAAAAGAGGCUUUUACCAAGCACCACACUUAUUGAGAUAUAGCUCUAUUUCUAUAUUCCGGUCUCUAAUUCAGAAUAGGUGGUAAUUUAUAAUAGGUGGAUGUGCAUAUAAAUUAUUUUAGAUAAAAGACUGAAGUUAGUUUUUGAUUUGACAACAAAGAAAUUAUUUAUAAACUUUUGUAUAUGAAAAAAAAAUGUUAAUUGAAGAUAUUGAAUGGUAUAUUCUACAUAGGUAGGUACAUGCAUUUAGUUUCAUAUCAUUGUUAUAUUGGAAAUUAUCAAUCUGGAUACUUAGAGAGAAGCACAUACAAACAAUAAUGAAUGAAUGAAAUUACACACAGUAUAAAUUCGAAAUUUGAAAUGACACAGGUAGUUUCACAUCUAUUUCAUAACAUUUAUUUAAAGGUCAUGCAUCUCAACAAUCCAAUUCAUUAGAUUAUGUAAUUCAUUCUGAAGCCUGAAUUUUGUAUAUGAGCAAGGUUUAUAUAAUUUAAAAAUGAAAAACAGAUGUGCAGAAUUUUUGGAAAUCGUCCAGGCUUACCUCACGCUUCACAUACAAAUCAAGGAAGUUUACAUUAAUGAUAUUAAUAUUUCAAAAUGUAAAAGAGACUUGUACUAUUAAUGGUGUCACAAUUAUUUUACAUCAAUUUACCAAAGAAUUAAGUUUGAAAAUAUAAGUAACAAUUACAAAGCAUCAUUAUUAUCAUUCAGGGAACAUGAUGCAUGGUCGCAUUGUGGAUACUGACAUUGCAUAUUAAAAUGAAAGGGUUAAGAUCUCCUUGUAGGUAUUUAAAAGAAAGUGAAUAAGUUCACUAUAUUUGGAAUUCUUGAAUAUCUACUUCAUACCUUCGAAUUGUUGACAAGUGGUAUUUAUAUUUAAACCUUAUUGCACAAAAUAGGUAUACACCAGUGUUCAAAUUUGUUUUUCUAAAUUUAUAAAUUUAAUGCAGGUCUUGUCUAAUGACUCUAGUGAAAGCGUUUGUUGCAUGGGAUUGGCUAAACAAGAACAGAUUACUUUUCGGUGUUGACACAAUAUUUAUUGUCUAAUAAUAUUGCAUAGUAUUCAGUUAUAUUUUUAAAAUUUGACUAGGUAUGCGAAGUUGAAAUAGUACAGUUAUACAUCUGUAAUACCAUGGAUUGCGAUGAAAAAUGAUUAUGAUUACAAUCCAGUAAUAAACCACAAAUGAAACUAUGAAUUAUUGUUGCUAUGAAAUACAAUUUAUUUGUGGCUUUAUGGUUUCAUUUGCAUAAAAACUUAACAGCUGGUGAUGCCUAAUUAAGUUAAUCAAAUGGACGGAUCCUAGAGGUCAUAAAUUGUGGAAUUUGGGUUGCCACGAGGUGGUAAUGGUCAGGAAUAGUGUCGGUCGAAUGCAAAAGCAGAUUACUUGUGUAUACAUUAUCAAUUACUAGGGUCCAUUUAUAAAAUUAAAAUGUUGGCAGGAGCAGUGCCUGUUUGAAAAGACAAGACUUAAAGAAUUCUCAUUGAAAAUUGACUUAAAGAGUAAGGUCGAUGAGUGGGUACAAAUAAUGUCACAAGUUUUAGUGCAGGGUUUUAGUAUGGUUUUGUGCAAAAGUCUGUGACUGACUUAAACAAAAGACUCAACACCAGAGUAAGUUGAAUGAACGAAUCUAAAAGUAUAUAACAUUCAAAUUUAAAGAAGCCUUAUAAAGUAGGCUGUGUAGAAGUAACUUGGAGUUAAUUUUUAUUUUACAUUUCUUUUCAAUUCAUUAAACUUUGAAAGUAUCCUUAAAAUUUGGUUUAUUGUUAGGUUUAACACAUGGUACAUUUAUGAUUUUAUGACGAAGACACAGUGAUGACAAGAGGAAUAGGUUGGUGAUAUUAACCAUGUGAACCAUGAUUCAUAAACACAACAUUUAUGGUUGCAGUUUUACAGCCAUAGCCGAUUGGCUCUAACUAUUAAAAAAAAAAGGUAUAUAAAUAUAUUGGAAUUUAAUUACUUCCAAUAGUUUCAAUAAUAUAGUAGGUGGGGUUAUGACGCUAGUAUUUGCUACGGUGUACUCGGUGUAGUAUACGCUUGUACCUAUUUGGAGCCUUUUCUUUCCGGGUGCAUGUGACCCCGAGGUUUAGUGUUGCGUUUUUUUACCAUCCCUGUGGCUGAAUAUUACUAUGGUGAAAUGUUGCACGAAGUUUAGGACGAAACAUCAGGACCAUCAGGUUAUUGAAUAAAUAUCUGUUUAUAUAAAUUCAACAAAAUAAAACAUGAUUUAAAUGUAAUCUUCUCAAAGUUGAUAAAUUGAUGAAUAUUUAUUAUUUUAUUUUAUUAAUGUUGAGGAUUUUUGAUGAAGAUAAUGAUUGAUAUCCAUGACGACAUUGACGUCUAAUUACAAUUUUAGUAACGAUGAGUAGGUGUCUAAUACAAAUACUUUAUUUAUAACGCUAAGGAAGAUCUUAGGUAACAGAGGUCCGAUAAUGAUGAUGAUGUAGGUAUAUGACUGAACAUGUCUACUAGUUAAGUAAGUGUCGAUGUCGGCGACAAUGUUUGCUCCAUGACUAUGACAGGGUCAAUAACUGGCCAUAUCGAUGAUAAAAACGGAGCUGGAUGAUUUCGAUGACAAUGUCGGCGAUAAAGCUUGACUGACCACUUUGAUGACGAUAUAUAGAUGACGUUUAUAGUAAGAUUAAUUGAUGAUGGUAAUGAUUGACUGAUUCCAUGUGUAUAAUCAAUGAUUAAAUUGUUGACGAGGACUGAGACUAAAAUGAUCGUUGCUACUGCCAAUAAUUAUAACAUUUGUUUUUAUUUUUUUUAUGUUACAACGCUGGUAACCUGGCUGAAUGGAUGAAGUUGAUAAUGAGCGAGGGCUUCGCAGCAAGAGCUGACUGAAGUAAAGGAGGUUAAACUGUUAAGACGGUGCUGCCAGUAGUGGGCAGGGCCCAAGCUGCCGAUGGACAGGGCCACAGAGCGAGGAACCGACAUACAUACGUGCCGUGUCCAAGAUUACUGCCUUCUGCAUCUGAUCCUUGAUCCAGUGACCAGCGAGAGUAUCUACAGGUGUUGUUUUGGACUCUUAGCUGACAAGAUUGCUAUUAUAUUAAUAUUAUGAAUCUAGAAUAUAACCGUUGAGUUUUGGCAGACUGUCUAGUGCAGGCCGUAAUGGCAGACUGUCUAGAGCAGGCCAUGACUGUUUAUUAUGUUAGUUUAUGCUUUGGCAAAGUUAGGUUCUUGUAAUAUGGGCCUUGUUGUCUGAUCCAAAUAAAUAUAUAUACAUAUUAGUUUAUACUUUGACAAACUGUCCAGCGCAGGCCUUGAAGGCAGACUGUCUGGGGCAGGCUUUGAUAGCAGACUGUCUUCUAGAGCAGGCCGUGAUGGCAGACUGUCUAGACAACUCAAGUCUAGAGCAGGCCAUAACAAUUUAUACUUUGGAAUGAUAUCUAGAGCAGGCCUUAAGGGCAGACUGUGAAUGUUUAUGAUGAAUUAUACUUUGUCAAACUAUAGAGUAAGCCUAAAUGGCAGACUGAGAUUGUUUAUGAUAAAUUAUACUUUGCCAAACUAUUUAGAGCAGGCCUAAAUGGCAGACUGAUUGUUUUGAUGAAUUAUGUUUUGCAAAUCAUUUAAAGCAGGUCUUAAUACUGUGAUUGUUUAUGAUGAAUUAUGUUUUGCCAAACUAUUUAGAGCAGGCCUAAAUGGCAGACUGAUUGUUUUGAUGAAUUAUGUUUUGCAAAUCAUUUAAAGCAGGUCUUAAUACUGUGAUUGUUUAUGAUGAAUUAUGUUUUGCCAAACUAUUUAGAGCAGGCCUAAAUGGUCUUAAUACUGUGAUUGUUUAUGAUGAAUUAUGUUUUGCUAAACUAUUUAGAGCAGGCCUUAUAAGGGUAGACUGUCAUUGUUUAUGACGUUUUAUACUUUGCCAUACUGUAUAGAGCAGGCCUUGAGGGCAGAUUGAGAAUGUUAAUGUUGGCUUAUACUUUGGCAGAUGUCUAGACCAGACCAAGACUGUAAGUUAGUUCAUAUGUAUUGAAAGUUUAUUGAAAGAAGGCUAUUAAUGCUACCAGGUGCUGGUUGUAUUAAAUUACUGUUUAGUGUUUAUAUGAUCUCAGGUUAUAGCAUGUGAAGAUUGUGAAGUGUGAAGACUGAUUUCUCAAUAAGGCUAAUAUAUGCAACUAGUCAUUGGUUGUGUGAUUGACUAAUAAAAGUCUAUAGUCAGAAGUUUACAAAAACUGUUCUUAUGAAUGUUUGUUAGAUAUCGAUAAAAUUGUUAUGAUAUAUUGCUGUUGUUAUUAAUGUACAAUUGUUUUUAGUGAGAGGACUCACUAUAAAUAAAAGGACGGCCGAGUUGUAAGCAUCACAAUAGUUGAUAUCCUGUAUGUUACUUUAUACUGAUAAUAAUCACAUGUAGUAUGCACCUGACUUUAUACUUUUUGGUUAUUGUAUCUAUGGUCAUGUUUGUUGAGGGAGAACUGUCAGAUUUUGGCGGCGCUUCAUUGCCCGAGGUUAUGUUGGAUUUGUUCUUUGUAAUCUUAUAAUUAAUCCUGUAUGUCGCUGUAAUAAAAGAAAUAUUACUGGAAGCAGUGGUUUGUGUGCUAAACCCCUUUUACUGAGCAUUAAAUCUAUGGAUGAUUUCAAUACAGCUUUAGUGGGUUCAGAAGGAACCGAGUCAUAACGCAUCUGGAAAGCGUAUUAAUUAACCGUGAAGAAAUGUAUGAAUACAAGUUAGAAAUCUGUGUAAAAUGCCGUGUGUAAAGUGUAGUGUAUCUGUGUGUAAAGUGUAAUAGGUAGGUAUGCCUAAUGUUAUUUGUAUAAUACUGAAAACUUUGUGAAUGCGCUUUAUUAAUGUCUAUUUUUAUUAAGUUGUCAGGGUUUAAUUUUCAGUGUAUAUUUCUAUAUGUAAAACAUAAUACAAUGUUAUAAACAUAAA
Molecule: long non-coding RNA, 6633 nt
Organism: Cydia fagiglandana
Lineage: Eukaryota; Metazoa; Arthropoda; Insecta; Lepidoptera; Tortricidae
Exons: 2
Source: RefSeq, a predicted model, not a curated record